AAGUCCAACAUAAUUCUUCCUGCACCCCGGCCCACAUCAACCCCUCUUCCGCGUACUCCCAGCCCCCACGAAACCCUAAGCCGCCUCUGCUAUUAAUGGAGAUGCCAUCGCCGGCGACGCUGGCGCCGACGCUGACGAUGAACAAACACGCUGCGACGGCGGCUGUGGCUGCUUUAGCGAUUGCGUUUGCAUUGUUUCCCGCUUCGCGUACAUCGUAGAACCACAUCCUUCACAGAUCUCGUUCUCAUCUGCCGACACGUCGUCGCUCCAUGAACGAACGUCUCUCUGUGAUCCUCCGCCUUCACCACCAUUACUGUUAGGUUCUUUUGGGAUGAAUGGAAUGAAAAGAAAAGCUAAAUUACGUUGUUUUAUUAUAUUUAUUUGCAUAAUUUUAUGUAACUCUGUAUAAAAUCGUGAAAUCAUCAUUCUAUAAUCACUAGAACCUAGACAGCUACUCUAUCAAACUUGAAAUGGUGCUAUUCAAUCAGUCUGAGUGUAGUUAUCUGAUAAGCUGAUUGACUCAAGAUCCAUAUUUUGCUUUCUGCGAAGCAUCACCUGCUUGCGUAUAUGCCCAGAAGUGUGGUUAAGUAGAUGUGUAUAUAAAGUGGAAGAAAGACCCUUACUUUGACUAUUGAGUCCAUCCACAGCUCCAUUGAGCUCAAAGCGCUUCUCUUUCUCAAAAAUUGCACUGCCCAGAUCCCAAUGGGUGCUUACCAAUAUCGGCUGGAAGAGGGGAAUAGAAUGGGAAUACCCAUGAAGGUUGCUGGGUUUCUUAGACAGUAACCAUCUACUAUGGAAGCCGCCUUCGACAGGGAAGAGCAUGCAGUUUAAGAAGAUCAAAAGUCAGAUAUUAGAGGCAAGUUGAAGAAAUUGAUAUUGACGAAUAGGAAUAAGAGGCUCCCCUUGAACAUAAUUCAGGGAAUGCAGUGGCACUUAGGGUUGCCUGAUGAUUUUCUGCUGCAACAAAUCUUGAUGAGUCUUUUAGAUAUGGGAAGAUGGAAGAUGAAAUGAUGGGAUUGGCUGUUUAGUCAGAGGAAAUGGUUUUGUCUGUUAUGCAGAGAAAUCCUAUUAAGAGGAAUUUGCUACGAGGGAUCCCAAGGGACCAUUGAAUUCCCUCUGUUUUCUUUAUGCAACAAAAUGGUCGGUGUAAUUGACGAGUUGCUAGCAUCUUUGUUGAGCAUUCAGCCGAGAGGAAGAAGCUUCUCUGCCUAUGGAAAUAUCUCGGUUUGCCCCAAGGAUUUCACAAGGCAUUCAAGUGACAUCCCCAUGUGUUCUUCUGUCUUUGAGGAACAAAACCUUCAUAGCAACUCUCAAAUAGGCUUAUGAUGAUAACUUCACCGUAGAUGCCAUCCUCUCUUUAAGUUGAGGAGAAAGUAUAUUGAGUUGAUGAAUAAUCAAAGGUUAUUUUGAAGAAUAGAAGGCUAAAGAACCAGACUGUUGUGCUUGGAAAUGUGGAUUUAGAUUUGGACUUUGACUAUAUAGUCACAGACACGAGCCAAAAUGCAGAUCAUUCUUCGUAAAUGUUUUUGCAGAAUAUAUUUAGAAAUAUGCAUGCUUUUGUGGUUAAGAAGAAGGGGGUAGAAUAUGUAAGAACUUUUCUUUUUGGAUGAAUUAAAUUAAAAAAGAGCUAAAUUUAUGAUCAUUUGUCAGAAGAUUUUUUUAUUUUUUUCUGAAGAGAAACAAGCAAGAUAACUGCAACUAGAGUUCAUGGACUACACUCUCCAGUUGACAGGGAUAAUGCUGCUGGUGCUCUGGGGUAUGUUAUUGGUCCUGCAUGCAUUGCUUCAAUCUUUUGAUGAAUGAAAUCAGGGUCUACUCUAACAUAACUUCCAGAGGAAAUUCAUUCUGAUUAGUUGCUGCACCUUGAAGGUGUCUUGAUACGUGAUGUCCUAGAAAUGAAGAAGGCAUUGUGUCGAGGUUUUGAGGGACAUGCUGCAAUUGUCUAGUCAAAUAUGCUUUUGCAACUGGAGCAAGGAAGUCCUGAAAUUGCUUGCAGGGAGAAGUUGAAGAAGCAGGUGGGGGAAGUUCCUUAUGAUUCAGCAAUCAGGGUCAUUCCAGUAUUUGCAACAAGUAGAUUACAGUUUGUGUGAAUAUGCAUGAAAGUUGCGCAAGCCAUCCAUGUUAGUGGAAUGGUAGAAAGCAAAGAAAGUUAAUAGUUUCUUGUGAAAGUGGUUCCUGAAUAAUGUUCCUUUAUGUUUAGUGUGUCAAUUGAGCACACUAGAUUUCUGUUGAGGCACAAUAAAAUCUACAGGCUGCAGCUGUAAGGUCGCCAAGCUUUGUGGACCAGAGACAAAAGCUUCAUGCAAUGCUCCAACUGUAGGAAGGCUAGGGGAUGGCAACAACAAUUGCUUCAUGUUGUGAACCUAGCCUUCUUGAUGCCCUAGCCUCGAGGCAGAUAAGGCUUAACAGUUCUGCUGCUUGCAGCAAUGAUGGAAAUGUGUACCAAGAGAAUCUAUAGGUGAAUUUACAUGUAUGAAACGCUGCUUACUGUGAUGCAGGUUUAAAUUGUUUGCUGCUUAUCCGCCAGGGGCAACGACUGUAUUUGGAUAUUUUGAAUUCUCUAGGAUUAAAUGUGAUUAAAGUAAGAUGAUUUUUUAUUGCUUUGUGUUUUGUAUAUAAUGAAGUAGUGACAAUAUUUUUGCAUUGUUUUAGUUAUGCAAAUGUGGAGAUUCUUUAA
Malania oleifera is the source of this 2677-nucleotide long non-coding RNA. RefSeq lists it as uncharacterized. NCBI's taxonomy places the organism in Eukaryota, Viridiplantae, Streptophyta, Magnoliopsida, Santalales, Ximeniaceae. The record is from RefSeq and is a predicted model, not a curated record. The transcript is spliced from 3 exons.